Octopus bimaculoides (California two-spot octopus) is the source of this 1262-nucleotide long non-coding RNA. RefSeq lists it as uncharacterized. Lineage: Eukaryota; Metazoa; Mollusca; Cephalopoda; Octopoda; Octopodidae. The record is from RefSeq and is a predicted model, not a curated record.
AAGAAGAAGAAGAAGAAGAAGGGGGGAAGCAGAGCAGAUGAAGGAGGAAGAAGGGGAGGACUGAUAUGCAUAUUUUCACUAGUCACGAUUGUGAAAGCAACACUCUAACCACUAGGCCAUGAAUACAAGAAUAUAAAGGGACUAUAACACUACAAGGUAUUCUAGUCAACUUUAGUUGAUUCUGCCUUCGAUUUGCUUUGAAUACGCCCAUACUUACAGUUUGCAUCUCUAGUUCGAACAUCCGCCUCUCAUCUUAUCUGGAACAUCGAUCUACUGGAAGCUGUUCGAAGAUGUACACCAGACGAAUUCUUUUUGUCAGUCUUGAGUGUCGUAAGACCACUCCUUUUUGCCAGCUGAGUGAAUUGGAGCAAUGUGAAAUGAAGUGUCUUGCUUAAGAACACAACGCACUGCUCGGUCUGGGAAUCGAAACCACGAUCUUACGAUUGUGAAAGCAACACUCUGACCACUAGGCCAUAAAUAUAAGAAUAUAAAGGGACUAUAACACUACAAGGUAUUCUAGUCAACUUUAGUUGAUUCUGCCUUCGAUUUGCUUUGAAUACGCCCAUACUUACAGUUUGCAUCUCUAGUUCGAACAUCCGCCUCUCAUCUUAUCUGGAACAUCGAUCUACUGGAAGCUGUUCGAAGAUGUACAUCAGACGAAUUCUUUUUGUCAGUCUUGAGUGUCUUAGUUCUCAAGGCAUCAAUACACAAAAGGUUCGACAUCUAGCAUUUGACUAGAUGAAGCCGACAAACUUUUCCUUCAUCUUUCAAACAACUUUGGCCACCAUUCAAUACCGCCUGGUUAUAAAAAGAGAGAAAGGAAAAAGCGCAGCACCUAUUACUCAUGCUUAGAAUUAUUGAAUCAAGAGAAAGGAAAAUGUUCGCAAACAAAAAGGAAGAUAAAUUGGUGUGGCGGAGCUCAGGCAUUUGACUACUGAAAGAAGUUACAGUUAAGAAGAGCAAGUGAAAUAAAGGGACACGGCUGUAAAUGGAAACUGUUGCACAAUAUGGAGAUCUGAAAAUCGACAAUCAACGAAACUCGCAUCGACAUGCACGUCAAAUCCAAAGUUGAUGGCAGUGUAAGAGUUAUCUCCCUUACACUAAUAGUUGCUGUCAGCAAUCACCCGCAUAAUUUGUUUUUAACAAGAAACGGCGUUUUCUUUGGACGAAAUAAUAUACUACAUAGCUCUCACUGUUUUCUCUAUUGCUGAACAAUUAACAAUUUAGAAUGAAAAAAAAUAAAGCCAAGUAUGUCUUUUAAA